AAAGUUUUAUCUUGGCGGGUAAAAAUGAAAAUAUUAUUUACCAAAUUACAAAAAUGAAUUUUGAGAUUUUGAAUGGUUACAACAAAUCUAUCUAUGGAAGUUUUAUUAUUCAUCAAACUUUUAUUAUCUUUUUUAUUAAUUUGAAAACUUUCAUAUUUUUUUUCCAAUUUCUACUAAUAAUAUAAAUACUCACAUUAUGACAUUUCUUUGGAAACCCUAGCCGCUCUCCUUAAACCAUCAAAGACGCUCACUCACGUCAAACCCUCACAAGCCAACAAGCGAGCAGUUGCCGCCGUCUUCAUUCCUACGCCCAUUACGGUCCUAUGUAUCAACAUUUGAAAUUUUGAAUAUUGUUUAUUGCUUCGCAGAAUUAUUUUCUAAUAUCAUUUGGUUUUCUUUUAUACAUGCAGAGACCCUUAUGAUCUAACAGCAUCUGAAAUCUAGCUUUUGAAAAUUGUAAAUUGAUUUAGUUUUGUAUUGGUUUUAUUUGAUGCUAAAAGUUUUUAAAAUUAUUUUCCCGCAAGCUUGUAAAAAGUUCUCAUAUACCUAUUUGGAUGAAUGGAAUUUUUUAUUUGAUUAAUAUUUUUAUGCACUGGAUAAAUUAAUAGGGCAUUGUAAUUUCAUUUACAAACAAAUGCCAACAAACCAUUUAAAAAAUAAUAAAAAUACGCCAAAAUUAUAAUCUUAUGUUAUAACUGCUGGGUUAUAUUUUUUUAAUGCCAUAUUAGUCAUGAUAAAAAUUGAAGAACUCUUUUAGUUGAGUCCUAAAUAAUUGUUUUUCUAGUUAAGUCCUAAAACUUGAAUAACUUAUUUUGGUAAAUGGAAAAUUAUAGGGAUAUUUAAACGAGAAUGAUACUCAAUUAAAAAAAAUAAUGUUAAAAACUAUAAGUUUUUGAAUGGACUAAUGCUAUAUAGUUGAGUAAUGAACAAGAAUUGGCUACCAUCUAAUUCGGUUGUAAAUGAACUUAAUUUUUGCUUAAUUCAUCCUCCAAUUGAGCAAUUCUCUUUAACUUCUUUUAAUCUAUAAAUUGAGUUCUUAUUCUACAGGUAUUCUAUGAUUUCUCCAUCUUGAAAGAGCGAGCAAGCAUUGAAAAGUUGAAAUGAGAGAUUUUUGUAUAUUAUUUUUUUACUUUUUAGUAUAUCUAAAGGUUCAAUUGUACUCUUGGAAUUUGAGUGAAAUUAUUAAUGUGAAACUCCAUUAUUAAGUGCAGACCAAAAUCGUAUCAGUGAAUGUUGUUUCUUAUACCAUAGUGUUAUGUUGUAACACCAUAUUAGUUGGAAUAUCCAUCCAAAUAUAUUAAGCUUUUAAAAAN
RNAcentral lists this long non-coding RNA (1313 nucleotides) under Citrus x clementina. Its description in RNAcentral is "Citrus clementina (C. clementina) long non-coding RNA (CCLE_LNC005588)". Lineage: Eukaryota; Viridiplantae; Streptophyta; Magnoliopsida; Sapindales; Rutaceae. The record is from RNAcentral.